This 427-nucleotide ribosomal RNA is filed under the name uncultured bacterium. RNAcentral's name for it is "bacterial SSU rRNA". It matches the Rfam family "Bacterial small subunit ribosomal RNA", at positions 355 to 796 of the family's 1533-position model. The record is from RNAcentral.
ACGAGAAUAUUCCGCAAUGGGCGAAAGCCUGACGGAGCGACGCCGCGUGCUUGAUGAAGUGCUUCGGUACGUAAAGAGCUUUUAUGUGGGACGAAAUAAUUGACGGUACCACAUGAAUAAGGGGCUCCUAACUCUGUGCCAGCAGGAGCGGUAAUACAGAGGCCCCGACCAUUACCCGGAAUCACUGGGCGUAAAGGGUGUCUAGGCGGUCGUGUUAGUCGUUCGUUAAAUCUAGGGGCCUAACCUCUAGCCUGCGGACGAAACGGCACGACUCGAGGGUGCGAGAGGUAGAGGGAACUCACGGUGGAGGGGUGAAAUCCGUUGAUAUCGUGGGGAACACCAAAGGCGAAGGCACUCUACUGGCGCAUUCCUGACGCUCACACACGAAAGCCAGGGGAGAGAACGGGAUUAGAUACCCCGGUAGUCC